This 519-nucleotide ribosomal RNA is filed under the name uncultured Glomus. Its description in RNAcentral is "SSU rRNA". It matches the Rfam family "Eukaryotic small subunit ribosomal RNA", at positions 569 to 1092 of the family's 1831-position model. Lineage: Eukaryota; Fungi; Glomeromycota; Glomeromycetes; Glomerales; Glomeraceae. The record is from RNAcentral.
AGCAGCCGCGGUAAUUCCAGCUCCAAUAGCGUAUAUUAAAGUUGUUGCAGUUAAAAAGCUCGUAGUUGAAUUUCGGGAUCAGUAUGUUGGUCGUGCUUCGGUACGUACUGUCAUUACUGGUUUCUACCUUCUGAAGAACCUUGAUGUCAUUAAUUUGGUGUCUUGGGGAAUCAGGACUGUUACUUUGAAAAAAUUAGAGUGUUUAAAGCAAGCAUACGCUUGAAUACAUUAGCAUGGAAUAAUGAAAUAGGACGUUUGAUUCUAUUUUGUUGGUUUCUAGGAUCGACGUAAUGAUUAAUAGGGAUAGUUGGGGGCAUUAGUAUUCAAUUGUCAGAGGUGAAAUUCUUGGAUUUAUUGAAGACUAACUACUGCGAAAAGCAUUUGCCAAGGAUGUUUUCAUUAAUCAAGAACGAAAGUUAGGGGAUCGAAGACGAUCAGAUACCGUCGUAGUCUUAACCAUAAACUAUGCCGACUAGGGAUCGGAUGAUGUUAUUUUAAUGACUCAUUCGGCGCCUUAAC